UACAGAGGGGGCAAGCGUUGUUCGGAAUUACUGGGCGUAAAGGGUGCGUAGGCGGCGGGGCAAGUCGGAUGUGAAAUCUCAGGGCUCAACCCUGAAACUGCAUUCGAUACUGCCUUGCUCGAGGACUGGAGAGGAGAUUGGAAUUCACGGUGUAGCAGUGAAAUGCGUAGAUAUCGUGAGGAAGACCAGUGGCGAAGGCGGAUCUCUGGACAGUUCCUGACGCUGAGGCACGAAGGCCAGGGGAGCAAACGGG
Molecule: ribosomal RNA, 253 nt
Filed under: uncultured bacterium
Lineage: Bacteria
Description: partial 16S ribosomal RNA
Rfam family: Bacterial small subunit ribosomal RNA
Source: RNAcentral